AUAUUUGAGCAUACAACCCUGAGUUUGUUUCUAAUAUAUAUAAAAUUUUAUAAAGCUUCUAAAACAAAUGGUUUUUUUUUAACAAGAAUGGAUUUCUAAAAAGAGACAUGUAAAAGAUUACAUAUAGUAAUAUGAUUAACUAGAUGAUUCUAGUUUUUAAAAAUGACUACAAUAUAAAAAGCAACUUGAUGGAAUGUGAUAGAAGAUAAAUUAUGUUAUAAAAUAAAAAUAUAACCCACAUGGUUUCCAUGUUUAAAAUGAAAACACGCAUGAAGCAAAAAUUAAGUGAAUGGAAUGUUGCACUAAAGUAACAAAAUAUAGAUAAAAUAUAUACAGGUAUCAUGGUUUGAUUAACAACCGUACAUGCUUAAUUUUUCAAUGUAAGAAUACACAGCACCAAAACUAUAGUAAAAAUGCAGUGUACUACUUUCUUUAUAAAACUUGUGUCUUUAUAGGGGAAUCUGAUGGAAUGCAUAGCACCAUAUAACAGUUAGCACCAAAACUAUAGUAAAAAUGUAGUGUACUACUCUCUUUAUAAAACUUGUCUUUAAAGGGGAAUCUGGCGGAAUGCAUAGCACCAUAAAACAGUUAGCACCAAAACUAUAGUAUAAGCACUACUUUUUUUUUUAUAAAACUUGUCUUUAUAGAGUAUAUUUUCCUCUCUUAAACUAUCAUUGUAAAUGAAUAUAGUAAAUAUAUAUAACAGCAUGUUAUCAGGAGUACAACUAUCAUGAUUUGAAAUAUGAACUUUAAUGAUUAUCACAAUUAUUUAGCACCAACUUUAAAACAAUUAACAUUUAAUAAAUUAUCACAACUAUAUUGCUUAAUAACAAGAAAAACAAAGACUAUAUACAUGUUUUAUAUUACAGUAUAAACAUUUCAUAUACUACUAAGGUCUGUCUAAUGUUCCCCAUCAACCUCUAUAGCAUUUUUGAUAUUUUUACAUUAUUUUUAAGACCAAAUAAACGUUAUCUUUUAAUCUGAUAGAUCAUAUCAGAUAAUUCCUCUGAUGUAAAGCUUCAUAAAUAUUUUGAUUUUCUUCCUUUAGAAGUUAUCAUACUGUGUAAUUACUAAACAUUUUUAAUUACAAUCAAGCCUCAAGCUAAAUAACUGUUGAUAGAUAAACAUGUAUAACAAUCUUUAAAUGUAGAGUAUAGGAAAUUGUCUUAAUUGCAAUCAAGUUUCAAAACUGAUUAACUGUUAAUGGAGAACAUCAGACAGAUAAACAUAUAUUACUUCUAAUUUGAGUUAAACUUCUUCUUAACAUAACAAAACAGACUUGUGUAAACAUAUACAAAACUUCUAGAUAUGUAUAAUAUAAACAACACCCUUUGAAGUAACAUCAUUUCAAAAAUCUGACUUAUUCCCUAUUUUCAUCAUAAAAAAAAAAAAAAAAUUUAAAAAGAGAAAUUAAGCGAAAAAUGUAUCAAUUUAUCUAUAAUUUAUAAUCAUGUCAAACACAGGAUGUUGAGUCUUUCUUAUGUAUAGAAAAUUAUCACUCUCCUUUGUUAAAACCUUCAAUAAUAAAAAAAAAAAAGCCCCCUCAAUAAACUUCUUAAGAUAAUAUAGCAUAGAAAUGCUAAUAUCUCCUUUGUCAUCACAAUGGAUGCUUAGUCAUAUAUAAAUUAAUCCUAAAAUGGCAUCUCAGUUAAGUCUAAAUGAAUUAAAUUUAUCAACCCAACUUUAUUUAAUGAAUCUUAUCAUAACCAAGAGAGAAGAAUAAGUCCUUUAAUAUUUAGGAAAAAUGUUAUACUUUCAUUCUAUUUAGAAAACUUUAUGAUGGAUCAUCGUGCUUCAAUCAGUAACUUUCUUUCUCAAUUGACUAAUUUUGUAUCUCAACAUAUACCAGUAGUGGGAAGUCAUUUUUUCCCAUGUUAUAAGUGUUCAAUACAACCUGAGUUGUUUGAAGAAAUAAAGAAUUGGUAUUGUCACCAACCCAUCAACACAUUCAGUAGCAUGCAAUUUAAUGUUUCUGCACUAUAUCAUGCUUUGUUGCAUGAAAGCAGGGAAACUAGGAUAGGAUGUCUCAUACGAAUGAGCGAGACAUUUUUGGGAGAACUGAUGCAGCAGUGCAAUACAGCUAAUAGUGUGCAAAGCCGAGACAUGCUGCAGAUAGGAUUAGAUAUCUUAAAGGACAGAAUACAUCACCACAAUGCAAUGGUUAUGUUUAAGUAGGGAUUCUCUUUGCCCUAUAGGUGAAAACCCACCUGUUGAUGGUCAGGGAGAGUGCUGGACAUUUGGCUGUGCUCGUACACUACUGAUGUUGGAGCGCUUUGAGACCGUUCUGUCGAGGAGUCAGGAGAACCCCCCCUCCGUAUGAGGAGAGGUCUCAACCGCACCAGUAGUGGAAACAAGGUCUUCCAGUGACUGUAAACAAAAACAAUAAUAUUUAUAGACAGUUAUCAAAUUUAAUAUUUAUAGUUUUUAACACAAAUCUGUUUAAUAGAAAUACAAUUAAAAUUAUGCUAACAAAUA
Long non-coding RNA from Mytilus californianus (California mussel), 2475 nucleotides. RefSeq lists it as uncharacterized. The record is from RefSeq and is a predicted model, not a curated record. The transcript has 2 exons. NCBI's taxonomy places the organism in Eukaryota, Metazoa, Mollusca, Bivalvia, Mytilida, Mytilidae.